Molecule: long non-coding RNA, 554 nt
Filed under: Apteryx owenii (little spotted kiwi)
Lineage: Eukaryota; Metazoa; Chordata; Aves; Apterygiformes; Apterygidae
Description: lncRNA (ENSAOWG00000009850.1)
Source: RNAcentral
GAGUGAUGCCAGGAAAUGGUAUCAACAGAAGUUGGCAACUGGAGCUGGGGCUGUUUUGAAAUCAGGAUAUGGUAUGACUGGACUAACUGAACAUUGUCUAAAGGUUCCUGGAGUAAAGGAGGAUACCAUGGUAUGGUGGGAGUAAUAGAUUUCAAAGAGAAAAGGAAACAUGAUCGCCUGCUCUAUCUUCCUGCAUGACACAGGCCAGAGUAUUUGAAAGCUAAUGAUGUCCUGUAUGGAGAAAAAAAACAGGGGUACCAGUCCAGACCCUGGGAUUGCUCAGUUGAUGCACUAGGGCACUCGCAAAAUUCAGGAGCAGUGAGAAUCAAGGCUGUCAGCUCUUUGGUAUAGAGUUCUUGUCUGUAUACACUCAGAUCCCGUUGCCUUGGAUUUUUAGAGUGGAAGUGAAUGGCUACAGAUUGACAGUGCCUGUUUCGGCAGACCAGGGCUGGACUCAGGCCUAUGCGCCUGCAGAAGAGAGCAGCAUCCACUGACUACCAACAUGUAGGUGCUCCGUUCUUCUCAGCUGCAGACAGUUGCCCAGUGGCCUUUUC